AUUGAACGCUGGCGGCAUGCCUUACACAUGCAAGUCGAACGGUAACAGGUCUUCGGAUGCUGACGAGUGGCGAACAGGUGAGUAAUACAUCGGAACGUGCCUAGUAGUGGGGGAUAACUACUAGAAAGAGUGGCUAAUACCGCAUGAGAUCUACGGAUGAAAGCAGGGGAUCGCAAGACCUUGUGCUACUAGAGCGGCCGAUGGCAGAUUAGGUAGUUGGUGGGAUAAAAGCUUACCAAGCCGACGAUCUGCAGCUGGUCUGAGAGGACGAUCAGCCACACUGGGACUGGGAAACGGCCCAGACUCCUACGGGAGGCAGCAGUGGGGAAUUUUGGACAAUGGGCGCAAGCCUGAUCCAGCAAUGCCGCGUGCAGGAUGAAGGCCUUCGGGUUGUAAACUGCUUUUGUACGGAACGAAAAGCCCUGGGUUAAUACCCUGGGGUCAUGACGGUACCGUAAGAAUAAGCACCGGCUAACUACGUGCCAGCAGCCGCAGUAA
This 498-nucleotide ribosomal RNA is filed under the name uncultured bacterium. Its description in RNAcentral is "partial 16S ribosomal RNA". It matches the Rfam family "Bacterial small subunit ribosomal RNA", at positions 30 to 523 of the family's 1533-position model. The record is from RNAcentral.